RNAcentral lists this ribosomal RNA (1278 nucleotides) under Cyanobium sp. LEGE 06012. RNAcentral's name for it is "bacterial SSU rRNA". It matches the Rfam family "Bacterial small subunit ribosomal RNA", at positions 99 to 1411 of the family's 1533-position model. The record is from RNAcentral. Lineage: Bacteria; Bacillati; Cyanobacteriota; Cyanophyceae; Synechococcales; Prochlorococcaceae.
CGGACGGGUGAGUAACGCGUGAGAAUCUGCCUUCAGGAGGGGGAUAACGGCUGGAAACGGCCGCUAAUACCCCAUAUGCCGCGAGGUGAAAUGAGAAAUCGCCUGAGGAUGAGCUCGCGUCUGAUUAGCUAGUUGGUGGGGUAAGAGCCUACCAAGGCAUCGAUCAGUAGCUGGUCUGAGAGGAUGAUCAGCCACACUGGGACUGAGACACGGCCCAGACUCCUACGGGAGGCAGCAGUGGGGAAUUUUCCGCAAUGGGCGCAAGCCUGACGGAGCAACGCCGCGUGAGGGAUGAAGGCCUCUGGGCUGUAAACCUCUUUUCUCAAGGAAGAAGAACUGACGGUACUUGAGGAAUAAGCCACGGCUAAUUCCGUGCCAGCAGCCGCGGUAAUACGGGAGUGGCAAGCGUUAUCCGGAAUUAUUGGGCGUAAAGCGUCCGCAGGCGGUCUUGAAAGUCUGUUGUUAAAGCGUGGAGCUCAACUCCAUUUCAGCAAUGGAAACUAGAAGACUAGAGUGUGGUAGGGGCAGAGGGAAUUCCCGGUGUAGCGGUGAAAUGCGUAGAUAUCGGGAAGAACACCAGUGGCGAAGGCGCUCUGCUGGGCCAUAACUGACGCUCAUGGACGAAAGCCAGGGGAGCGAAAGGGAUUAGAUACCCCAGUAGUCCUGGCCGUAAACGAUGAACACUAGGUGUCGGGGGAAUCGACCCCCUCGGUGUCGUAGCCAACGCGUUAAGUGUUCCGCCUGGGGAGUACGCACGCAAGUGUGAAACUCAAAGGAAUUGACGGGGGCCCGCACAAGCGGUGGAGUAUGUGGUUUAAUUCGAUGCAACGCGAAGAACCUUACCAGGGUUUGACAUCCUGCGAAUCUUUUGGAAACAGAAGAGUGCCUUCGGGAGCGCAGAGACAGGUGGUGCAUGGCUGUCGUCAGCUCGUGUCGUGAGAUGUUGGGUUAAGUCCCGCAACGAGCGCAACCCACGUCUUUAGUUGCCAGCAUUGAGUUGGGCACUCUAGAGAGACCGCCGGUGAUAAACCGGAGGAAGGUGUGGAUGACGUCAAGUCAUCAUGCCCCUUACAUCCUGGGCUACACACGUACUACAAUGCUACGGACAGAGGGCAGCAAACUCGCGAGAGCUAGCAAAUCCCAUAAACCGUGGCUCAGUUCAGAUCGUAGGCUGCAACUCGCCUACGUGAAGGAGGAAUCGCUAGUAAUCGCAGGUCAGCAUACUGCGGUGAAUACGUUCCCGGGCCUUGUACACACCGCCCGUCACACCAUGGAAGU